CACGGGGGCAACCCUGGUGGCGAGUGGCGAACGGGUGAGUAAUACAUCGGAACGUGUCCUGUAGUGGGGGAUAGCCCGGCGAAAGCCGGAUUAAUACCGCAUACGCUCUACGGAGGAAAGGGGGGGAUCUUAGGACCUCCCGCUACAGGGGCGGCCGAUGGCAGAUUAGCUAGUUGGUGGGGUAAAGGCCUACCAAGGCGACGAUCUGUAGCUGGUCUGAGAGGACGACCAGCCACACUGGGACUGAGACACGGCCCAGACUCCUACGGGAGGCAGCAGUGGGGAAUUUUGGACAAUGGGGGCAACCCUGAUCCAGCAAUGCCGCGUGUGUGAAGAAGGCCUUCGGGUUGUAAAGCACUUUUGUCCGGAAAGAAAACGCCGUGGUUAAUACCCGUGGCGGAUGACGGUACCGGAAGAAUAAGCACCGGCUAACUACGUGCCAGCAGCCGCGGUAAUACGUAGGGUGCAAGCGUUAAUCGGAAUUACUGGGCGUAAAGCGUGCGCAGGCGGUCCGCUAAGACAGAUGUGAAAUCCCCGGGCUUAACCUGGGAACUGCAUUUGUGACUGGCGGGCUAGAGUAUGGCAGAGGGGGGUAGAAUUCCACGUGUAGCAGUGAAAUGCGUAGAGAUGUGGAGGAAUACCGAUGGCGAAGGCAGCCCCCUGGGCCAAUACUGACGCUCA
This 681-nucleotide ribosomal RNA is filed under the name Burkholderia sp. KP1-73. RNAcentral's name for it is "bacterial SSU rRNA". It matches the Rfam family "Bacterial small subunit ribosomal RNA", at positions 72 to 749 of the family's 1533-position model. The record is from RNAcentral. Lineage: Bacteria; Pseudomonadati; Pseudomonadota; Betaproteobacteria; Burkholderiales; Burkholderiaceae.